This 310-nucleotide ribosomal RNA is filed under the name uncultured soil bacterium. RNAcentral's name for it is "bacterial SSU rRNA". It matches the Rfam family "Bacterial small subunit ribosomal RNA", at positions 26 to 330 of the family's 1533-position model. The record is from RNAcentral.
AGAUUGAACGCUGGCGGCAUGCCUUACACAUGCAAGUCGAACGGCAGCGCGGGGCAACCUGGCGGCGAGUGGCGAACGGGUGAGUAAUAUAUCGGAACGUACCCUGGAGUGGGGGAUAACGCGGCGAAAGUUGCGCUAAUACCGCAUACGAUCUAAGGAUGAAAGCGAGGGGACCGCGAAGGCCUUGUGCUCCGUGGAGCGGCCGAUAUCUGAUUAGCUAGUUGGGUAGGGUAAAGGCCUACCGAAGGCAUCGAUCAGUAGCUGGUCUGAGAGGACCGACCAGCCACACUAGGAACUGACGACCGACGGU